Molecule: small RNA, 65 nt
Filed under: Rummeliibacillus stabekisii
Lineage: Bacteria; Bacillati; Bacillota; Bacilli; Caryophanales; Caryophanaceae
Description: Bacillaceae-1 RNA
Rfam family: Bacillaceae-1 RNA
Source: Rfam by way of RNAcentral
GGGAUAGGAACUUAGGCUAAAACCAUGCCGUCAAUCACAAAGCCUAAGCCACCACAUCCUGUGGA